CCGUGGUGACGUUCUGUUGGGCGCCCGCAUCCCAACCUGAGGGCACCGUUUGGGGCACCGUUUGGGGCACCGCAGGGACCCUCUGGGGCCGCCCCCCCCUUUUCUCCUCCCUCCCCCGCCCCCCUCCCAUCCAUCCCGCAGUCCAAAGCGCAUUAACGGAGGGUUCGGGGGAUUCCACCGCCGCUCGGAGCCGCUGCGCACCGCGGAGCCGCGAAGCGCCGCCGGGACGAAACAAAAACCCCGAGAAAAAAGAGAAGAAAAAGGGGGAAAAAGAAAAAAAAACACCACACAAACAAACAAACAAAACCCACCAACAAAACGCGACCUCCAGAAAAUACCUCAAGACUCUGAUCCUGUGCCGUUGCUGCUAAACCAACCCCCGGGGAGGGGGCGGCCGCACCCGGGGGGGUCCCCGUGCAGGACUGACCGCCGGGGCCGCGGGUAUUUAUAAGAGUUCCUAUGGCUGUUUUGGUUCCGUUUGGGGUUUUUUUUUGCUUUGGUUCGGUUGGUUUUUUUUAAAAAAAAAAAAA
This 530-nucleotide long non-coding RNA is filed under the name Gallus gallus (chicken). The record is from RNAcentral. Lineage: Eukaryota; Metazoa; Chordata; Aves; Galliformes; Phasianidae.